RNAcentral lists this ribosomal RNA (253 nucleotides) under uncultured bacterium. RNAcentral describes it as "partial 16S ribosomal RNA". It matches the Rfam family "Bacterial small subunit ribosomal RNA", at positions 524 to 776 of the family's 1533-position model. The record is from RNAcentral.
UACAGAGGGGGCGAGCGUUGUUCGGAAUUACUGGGCGUAAAGGGCGCGUAGGCGGCCUUCUAAGUCAGACGUGAAAUCCCCCGGCUUAACCUGGGAACUGCGUCUGAUACUGGGAGGCUUGAGUAUGGGAGAGGGAUGUAGAAUUCCAGGUGUAGCGGUGAAAUGCGUAGAUAUCUGGAGGAAUACCGGUGGCGAAGGCGGCAUCCUGGACCAUUACUGACGCUGAGGCGCGAAAGCUAGGGGAGCAAACGGG